This 865-nucleotide ribosomal RNA is filed under the name uncultured Trichococcus sp. RNAcentral describes it as "bacterial SSU rRNA". It matches the Rfam family "Bacterial small subunit ribosomal RNA", at positions 8 to 854 of the family's 1533-position model. The record is from RNAcentral. Lineage: Bacteria; Bacillati; Bacillota; Bacilli; Lactobacillales; Carnobacteriaceae.
AGAGUUUGAUCCUGGCUCAGGACGAACGCUGGCGGCGUGCCUAAUACAUGCAAGUCGAACGGUCUUUUCUAUGGAAGCUUGCUUCCACUGAGAAGAUAGUGGCGAACGGGUGAGUAACACGUGGGUAACCUGCCCAUAAGAGGGGGAUAACAUCCGGAAACGGGUGCUAAUACCGCAUAGUUUUCUUGAUCGCAUGAUCGAGAAAGGAAAGACGGCCUUUGUGCUGUCGCUUAUGGAUGGACCCGCGGCGUAUUAGUUAGUUGGUGAGGUAAUGGCUCACCAAGACGAUGAUACGUAGCCGACCUGAGAGGGUGAUCGGCCACAUUGGGACUGAGACACGGCCCAAACUCCUACGGGAGGCAGCAGUAGGGAAUCUUCCGCAAUGGACGAAAGUCUGACGGAGCAACGCCGCGUGAGUGAAGAAGGUUUUCGGAUCGUAAAACUCUGUUGUCAGAGAAGAACAAGUCGGAGAGUAACUGCUCCGGCCUUGACGGUAUCUGACCAGAAAGCCACGGCUAACUACGUGCCAGCAGCCGCGGUAAUACGUAGGUGGCAAGCGUUGUCCGGAUUUAUUGGGCGUAAAGCGAGCGCAGCGGUUCCUUAAGUCUGAUGUUAAAGCCCACGGCUCAACCGUGGAAAGUCAUUGGAAACUGGGGAACUUGAGUGCAGAAGAGAGAGUGGAAUUCCAUGUGUAGCGGUGAAAUGCGUAGAUAUAUGGAGGAACACCAGUGGCGAAGCGACUCUCUGGUCUGUAACUGACGCUGAGCUCGAAAGCGUGGGGAGCAAACAGGAUUAGAUACCUGGUAGUCCMCGCCGYAACGAUGARUGCUAGUGUGGAGGGUUCCACCCCUCAGUGCUGCAGCUA